Molecule: small nuclear RNA, 105 nt
Organism: Mobula hypostoma (lesser devil ray)
Lineage: Eukaryota; Metazoa; Chordata; Chondrichthyes; Myliobatiformes; Myliobatidae
Source: RefSeq, a predicted model, not a curated record
GCUCCCUUCAGCAGCACAUACACUAAAACAGUAAUGAAACAGAGAAGAUUCGUAAUGCCCCUGUGUAAGGAUGACAAUCAAAUUCAUGAAGCAUUCCAUACUUUG